UUGUUCUCUUUUUUGUGUCAUUAAGGACUAUUCAGCAGCAGAGCACAUGGUCCAUGAGGAUUUGCCUGUUGCAGAAUCAUCAGUUGCUUUUCAACUGCCGGCAAGCUGAACCUGUUAAAACAUGGCAGGUUCCAAAGGGCCUGACUGCUGCUUGCUUUGUCGCCUACUUAAAGUCAGUUUACCCCCAAAUGGAGAGGAGAAACUUUCAGUUCUGCAAAGUUAACCGCCACAGGGUCCUGAUCUCCCUUGAGGAGAAAACCCCUGAACAAUUACGUUCCAGUGGAGUGUUGGGUCGUUCGGCUCUAUAUAUUCGCCCUGAGACAAGUGAUGAGGAUGAAGGAAUGCUGGUAAGUUUACUUAACUAAGCUGUUAUUAUCCGUGACAUACAGUAAAUGAAAUAGUACAAUAAACUGGCAAAUAGUAAAU
This 426-nucleotide long non-coding RNA is filed under the name Gadus morhua (Atlantic cod). Its description in RNAcentral is "lncRNA (ENSGMOG00000028235.1)". Lineage: Eukaryota; Metazoa; Chordata; Actinopteri; Gadiformes; Gadidae. The record is from RNAcentral.